CCUACGGGAGGCAGCAGUGGGGAAUAUUGGGCAAUGGACGCAAGUCUGACCCAGCAACGCCGCGUGAAGGAAGAAGGCUUUCGGGUUGUAAACUUCUUUUAAGGGGGAAGAGCAGAAGACUGUACCCCUUGCAUAAGCCACGGCUAACUACGUGCCAGCAGCCGCGGUCAUACGUAGGUGGCAAGCGUUGUCCGGCUUUACUGGGUGUAAAGGGCGUGCAGCCGGAGAGACAAGUCAGAUGUGAAAUCCACGAGCUCAACCCGUGAACUGCAUUUGAAACUGGUUCCCUUGUGUGUCGGAGAGGUAAUCGGAAUUCCUUGUGUAGCGGUGAAAUGCGUAGAUAUAAGGAAGAACACCAGUGGCGAAGGCGGAUUACUGGACGAUAACUGACGGUGAGGCGCGAAAGCGUGGGGAGCAAACAGGAUUAGAGACCCUUGUAGUC
Molecule: ribosomal RNA, 442 nt
Filed under: uncultured bacterium
Lineage: Bacteria
Description: partial 16S ribosomal RNA
Rfam family: Bacterial small subunit ribosomal RNA
Source: RNAcentral